GACGAACGCUGGCGGCGUGCUUAACACAUGCAAGUCGAACGGAAAGGCCCUGCUUUUGUGGGGUGCUCGAGUGGCGAACGGGUGAGUAACACGUGAGUAACCUGCCCUUGACUUUGGGAUAACUUCAGGAAACUGGGGCUAAUACCGGAUAGGAGCUCCUGCUGCAUGGUGGGGGUUGGAAAGUUUCGGCGGUUGGGGAUGGACUCGCGGCUUAUCAGCUUGUUGGUGGGGUAGUGGCUUACCAAGGCUUUGACGGGUAGCCGGCCUGAGAGGGUGACCGGCCACAUUGGGACUGAGAUACGGCCCAGACUCCUACGGGAGGCAGCAGUGGGGAAUAUUGCACAAUGGGCGGAAGCCCGAUGCAGCAACGCCGCGUGCGGGAUGACGGCCUUCGGGUUGUAAACCGCUUUCGCCUGUGACGAAGCGUGAGUGACGGUAAUGGGUAGAGAAGCACCGGCUAACUACGUGCCAGCAGCCGCGGUGAUACGUAGGGUGCGAGCGUUGUCCGGAUUUAUUGGGCGUAAAGGGCUCGUAGGUGGUUGAUCGCGUCGGAAGUGUAAUCUUGGGGCUUAACCCUGAGCGUGCUUUCGAUACGGGUUGACUUGAGGAAGGUAGGGGAGAAUGGAAUUCCUGGUGGAGCGGUGGAAUGCGCAGAUAUCAGGAGGAACACCAGUGGCGAAGGCGGUUCUCUGGGCCUUUCCUGACGCUGAGGAGCGAAAGCGUGGGGAGCGAACAGGCUUAGAUACCCUGGUAGUCCACGCUGUAAACGGUGGGUACUAGGUGUGGGGUCCAUUCCACGGGUUCCGUGCCGUAGCUAACGCUUUAAGUACCCCGCCUGGGGAGUACGGCCGCAAGGCUAAAACUCAAAGGAAUUGACGGGGCCCCGCACAAGCGGCGGAGCAUGCGGAUUAAUUCGAUGCAACGCGUAGAACCUUACCUGGGUUUGACAUGGAUCGGGAGUGCUCAGAGAUGGGUGUGCCUCUUUUGGGGUCGGUUCACAGGUGGUGCAUGGCUGUCGUCAGCUCGUGUCGUGAGAUGUUGGGUUAAGUCCCGCAACGAGCGCAACCCUUGUUCACUGUUGCCAGCACGUUAUGGUGGGGACUCAGUGGAGACCGCCGGGGUCAACUCGGAGGAAGGUGGGGAUGACGUCAAGUCAUCAUGCCCCUUAUGUCCAGGGCUUCACGCAUGCUACAAUGGCUGGUACAGAGAGUGGCGAGCCUGUGAGGGUGAGCGAAUCUCGGAAAGCCGGUCUCAGUUCGGAUUGGGGUCUGCAACUCGACCUCAUGAAGUCGGAGUCGCUAGUAAUCGCAGAUCAGCAACGCUGCGGUGAAUACGUUCCCGGG
RNAcentral lists this ribosomal RNA (1343 nucleotides) under uncultured bacterium. RNAcentral describes it as "16S ribosomal RNA". It matches the Rfam family "Bacterial small subunit ribosomal RNA", at positions 28 to 1378 of the family's 1533-position model. The record is from RNAcentral.